UCCCAGAUGGUCCAGGGGCCAAGACUCUGCACUCCCAAUGCAGGGGGCCUGGGUUCAAUUCCUGGUCAGGGAA
RNAcentral lists this transfer RNA (73 nucleotides) under Ovis aries (sheep). It matches the Rfam family "tRNA". Rfam says of the family: Transfer RNA (tRNA) molecules are approximately 80 nucleotides in length. The record is from Rfam by way of RNAcentral. Lineage: Eukaryota; Metazoa; Chordata; Mammalia; Artiodactyla; Bovidae.